RNAcentral lists this ribosomal RNA (465 nucleotides) under uncultured bacterium. RNAcentral's name for it is "partial 16S ribosomal RNA". It matches the Rfam family "Bacterial small subunit ribosomal RNA", at positions 28 to 507 of the family's 1533-position model. The record is from RNAcentral.
GACGAACGCUGGCGGCGUGCUUAACACAUGCAAGUCGUACGGUAAGGCCCUUUCGGGGGUACACGAGUGGCGAGCGGGUGAGUAACACGUGAGUAACCUGCCCACAACUUUGGGAUAACGCUAGGAAACUGGUGCUAAUACUGGAUAUGUGCUCCUGCUGCAUGGUGGGGGUUGGAAAGCUCCGGCGGUUGUGGAUGGACUCGCGGCCUAUCAGCUUGUUGGUGGGGUAGUGGCCUACCAAGGCGGCGACGGGUAGCCGGACUGAGAGGGUGACCCGCCACAUUGGGUCUUAGAUACGGCCCAGACUGCUACGGGUGGCCGCAGUGGGGAAGCUUGCACAAUGGGCGCCAGCCGUGUGCAGCAACGCCGCGUGCGGUAUGACGGCCUUCGGUGUGUAGACCGCUUUCAGCAGAGACGAUUCUUGUUGUGACGUUACCUGCAGAAUAAGCACCGGCUAACUACGUG